This 5777-nucleotide long non-coding RNA is filed under the name Lactuca sativa (garden lettuce). RNAcentral describes it as "long non-coding RNA (LSAT_LNC008437)". The record is from RNAcentral. Lineage: Eukaryota; Viridiplantae; Streptophyta; Magnoliopsida; Asterales; Asteraceae.
UUUAUGCUUUGUUUAAAAAUCAGAGUAACAUUUUAAAUAAAAGUGUUGCGGAAUUUGUCCCAAAACAAAAUAUGAUAGAGAUUUAUCAAAAGCAUUUCUGUAGAAAUGUAUUUCAUUAAAAAGACUCGGGAUGUCAUGUUCGAUACAGAUCAUAAGCAUAAACAAUACAACAUAGGCCUUACUACAUUAUUCCGUAUUUACAGGCCUAAAAUCCAUUAAUCUCUCAUCCCAAGAUAUCACAUCUAUGCUCAUGCGCCACUACCUGUAAUACAAGAAACUGAGUGGGUCAGGCUUGGGAGCCUGGUGAGCACAUAGGGUUUGCAACACACAAUAAAUAAGUUUAUUAAUUUCCUCAAUCAACAAUAACCCGAUUACCCAUUCCUAUUAUCCUCACAUUACGUCCCUAAGCAUCUAUCAUAAAGGACCUAUCCUAAGGAUUAUCAUCGGGAUGGACACUAAUGCUAAGGGGAUUCCUCAGCAAUAAAUGUCCUUAAGUCAACCAUGUGGGGGAUGGAGUACAUCUGGUGAGCACACAGUUCAAAUAAACACACAGUUCAAAUAAACACCUACAGGUUGCGAGCCUGCUAGUGUUCCACUGGACUGUCUAGAAUAGUCCGUGGUCGUCAUCUAUACUCCGCUAGAUGACUAGAUCAUCAAUAACAUCUAUAACGAGGCCUCUCAUUAUUUCAUUUUAUCACACAACAACUAAUACAUCUACCCAUGUUUUACCCCAACAUUUUCGUAGAUAUAAAAUAAAUAUACAGUUUAAAUCUUUGAAAACAUGUAUAAAAAUGUUCAUCUAGCAUAGAUAGCAAGUAUUCCGGUAAUAUGCACACAUAGCACGUAAUUCAUAUAAAAUACUUCAUAUCUAUGUGUAAGCUAAAACUAACUAUGCACUCACUUGAAAAGGUGGUGAAUCUGAACACAGACAGCGCUUUGCUUCUUAAAAAUAAUUUCCUUCGACGAAACCUAGUAUUAUUACCACUAAAAUUUAGUCUAUUAUUUGCCGAGACUAAUUAAUAGUCUAGCUAUUAUUACUAAUAUAUAAGCGUCAAACAAUACUUAUAUAGCCCAUAAUAAUAGCCCAAGUACUUAUUAUAAGUUCCUAAUAACGUUACUAUAAUUAAAUAAACGAUAUAUUAAAAAUAGCGUAAGCGUAGCUCACUUACAGCGGGUUUUAUAGAAAACCGGGCUUUGCUUGGAGCAGCGUUCCCGAGCCGAAAAGCUCUUCUUCUCGGAGCCUUCGAGCACUCCGGGGCUUCCGCCUCGUGCUAGGGAGGUUCCCUAGGCUUUUCGGGGGGUUUCGGGGCUAGAGAGAGGUUCUAGAGAGAGAGAGAGAGUAAAGAGAAGAAAGAAUGGGAAAGGUGUGAAGAAAAUGAGGGUGGGAGAGGUGCUAUUUAUAGGGUGAAAUGUGGCUGAACUUGGUGCCACAUGUCACCAUCUAGUGGCAAGACUUGGGGAGAAAGCAAUGGCCAAGAUUGUGCCACAUCACCUAUUUUCGCACAGCACACUUUCGACUUCUAAAAUUCGUAACUUUCACAUACGACCUCCGUUUUUGACAUUCUUUAUAUCCACUCGUAGGUAAAAAUAAUAUAUACAACUUUCAUUUUUACUCUGUCGGCUAAUUCUCGACCGAUCUUAAAUUUAACAGUACAAGGAGAUUAUAUUGUUAAACGUCCGCGUAAAAUUCAUAACUUCUACAUACGGACUAUGUAUUCUUCUGUCUUUUACCGUUGAGUUCCUAUUAAUGAGAUCUUCAACUCUCAUUUAGGUCGCGUAAGUCAAAAACCUCUCGAACUAAAAUUCGAGUUUCAGGUCGUGCACUGCUAAGCCGAAUCUUAGAAAAAUCAUAACUUCCUCAUACGAAGUCGGAUUUGGGCGUUCUUUUUAUGGAUGUUCUCGAUUUAACAUAUACUACAAAUUUAGUUUAGAUCACUAAGGCUAAAAAGUCCUCCAUCGUAAAUUCACUAUUUACGUCUCCCGGUGUCGUGCCGGUUUUGCCGUAAAACUUCGGCGGGCCAUAACUUCUUCGUUAUAACUCGGAUUUCGGCAUUCUUUAUAUGUACGGAAACCUUGAGACGUAUUCUACAACUUUAUGUAGAGAUAUCAGGAUUAUCUCACACUUUAAUUUUGACGCUCAUUUUUAUUCUUUAUUAAUUAUACAUUUAUAAUUAAAUAAUAAACACAUANNNNNNNNNNNNNNNNNNNNNNNNNNNNNNNNNNNNNNNNNNNNNNNNNNNNNNNNNNNNNNNNNNNNNNNNNNNNNNNNNNNNNNNNNNNNNNNNNNNNNNNNNNNNNNNNNNNNNNNNNNNNNNNNNNNNNNNNNNNNNNNNNNNNNNNNNNNNNNNNNNNNNNNNNNNNNNNNNNNNNNNNNNNNNNNNNNNNNNNNNNNNNNNNNNNNNNNNNNNNNNNNNNNNNNNUUCUUGGUAACCUUGUGACUUUCCCUGAUCCAAGUGUGAGUCAUGUGCUUCCGGUAGUAUAGGCCUCUACUACCUUUCACACCUACUCAUACUUGUCCCAAGUAUUGUCCCGUAGUUUUCCAAGUCACCAUACAAGAAAAUCACAUAGAAACUUAACACAUAAAAUAUCAAAACGAAGGUUUUAUAUUAUUCCUUGAAACGAUUACAUGGGUGUUCAAGUUCACCCUAGAUUAUGCCUCUAAUAGGCUACACCAUAUGACACUAUCUACAUGGCUUCUUCAUAACUUGAUCUCCAUGUAUCCAUCCUCACUCCUGAUUCCUUGCAUCGUCAGCUGCUUCGUCUAGGAUCAUAUGGAAUGCUCUUGCCUUUGGUUUUGGCGGAAUGUUUGGUCUUGCCGCCUCUUUCUUUUUCGGGCAAUCCUUAGCAACAUGCCCUUCUUCACGGCAUUCAUAACACACCGUUUUGCUGGCGGUGCACUCAUUGGCGUAAUGUCCAUCCUUCCCACACUUGUAGCAAGUCACUUCUUCGCUACAUUUCCCAAAGUGAUUCUUCUUGCACUUCUCACACCAUUUCACUUUGUUUCCUCCUCCGCUAAACUCCUUUGAACCAGACUUGAUCUUCUUAUUGGGCCUCGUAGACCCCUCAAACUUCCUCUUUUCGCCAACCUCAAUCUUGUUGGCAGCUCUUCCCUUAAUCAUAUCUUCCACAGACUUGGCAGCCCAGAUAGCUACCUCCAAAGUAGGUGCCUGACGCACUGGCACCGCGUACUCCCAUGGAAGUCCCUUUGCGUACUUGUCGAUUUUCUUCAGCUCAUCCUGAACAAGGCGCAAGGCGAACUCCAUCUUCUCUGUGAAGUUGUUGGUGUAUUCAUCAAUUGACAUGCUUCCUUUCUUCAAGGUCAGGAACUGGUUCUCUAGCUCGAGUAAGUUUUGAGCUGAGCAGUACUUUCGUUUAAAUUGCACCAGAAACUCUGCCCAUGCCAGUUGCAGGGGCUCAUUGGGGCUCAAAGUCUUCCCUAGGGUAUUCCACCAGCGAACAGCGCCUCCUCUGAAUUGACGUACUGCAAACGUGGUUUGUAGCUUGCCUUUGCAACCACAUGUCAUGAAGGCCAAUUCCAUCUCUGAGAUCCAAUCCAUGACCCCGAUCGGAUCUUCCUUCCCAGUGAAAGUCGAUGGCGUGCAAGUUAGAAAAUCUUUGUACUUGCAUCCGUUCCUCUCAACUCCUUCAUCAUGAUUAUUCCUCCUAAUCACCGGGGGAUCAGCUUAACCAACGGUCCCACUGUCGUUCCCUUUCUCAAACUGCCCGUCAUUCAGCUCGGGCUGUUUAAUAGGCAUCGUAAUUUCCUCUCGAGCUUGUUGAAGUAAACGCCUUGUUUCCUCCAUUUGACGAUCCAACAUCAUCUGGAUCAAUGCUUGCACUCCAGCCAUCGUGAUUGGCUUGGGUGCAACUUCUACUACGACUAGUAUUUGUUGUAUCACUGGGGGCUGAUCUCGGUUCCUAUUUGCAUUCACGUUUCUGCUACAAGUCCUUUCCAUCUUGAUCUAUACACCGAAUAAGGUGAAUCUAGAUCUUUAUUUAGGAUUGACAUUUAAAUCAUCCUUAUCACUCCGAAAUGUUUAUACGCUAGUUCUAAUAUCGUAGUUAAACGCUUAGAAUCCUAAACACAUAAGGUUUCCAGAUCCGGUCGGCAACAGACCAUAGAUCCGAACAAAUAAUAGCAUGUCAGGCACAAAGCAUUUAGCACAUAAAAGCAUUUUAGGCAUAAUUCCUAAAAUAAGCUAGUGCUCACACCUCACAAUCAUCGCUUAGCAUUCUAAGUUUAAGUCUAGAAAUCCUACAAAUUCCUAGUUCGCUUAAACUAAUGCUCUGAUACCAACUGUGACAUCCCCAAAAUCACGGCCAGAAAAGACCGUUUUGUUUAUGCUUUGUUUAAAAAUCAGAGUAACAUUUUAAAUAAAAGUGUUGCGGAAUUUGUCCCAAAACAAAAUAUGAUAAAGAUUUAUCAAAAGCAUUUCCGUAGAAAUGUAUUUCAUUAAAAAGACUCGGGAUGUCAUGUUCGAUACAGAUCAUAAGCAUAAACAAUACAACAUAGGCCUUACUACAUUAUUCCGUAUUUACAGGCCUAAAAUCCAUUAAUCUCUCAUCCCAAAACAUCACAUCUAUGCUCAUGCGCCACUACCUGUAAUACAAGAAACUGAGUGGGUCAGGCUUGGGAGCCUGGUGAGCACAUAGGGUUUUCAACCCACAAUAAAUAAGUUUAUUAAUUUCCUCAACCAACAAUAACCCGAUUACCCGUUCCCGUUAUCCUCACAUUACGUCCCUAAGCAUCUAUCAUAAGGGACCUAUCCUAAGGAUUAUCAUCGGGACGGACACUACUGCUAAGGGGAUUCCUCAGCAAUAAAUGUCCUUAAGGCAACCAUGUGGGGGAUGGAGUACAUCUGGUGAGCACACAGUUCAAAUAAACACCUACAGGUUGCGAGCCUGCUAGUGUUCCACUGGACUGUCUAGAAUAGUCUGUGGUCGUCAUCUAUACUCCGCUAGAUGACUGGAUCAUCAAUAACAUCUAUAACGAGGCCUCUCAUUAUUUCAUUUUAUCACACAGCAACUAAUACAUCUACCCAUGUUUUACCCCAACAUUUUCGUAGAUAUAAAAUAAAUAUACAGUUUAAAUCAUUGAAAACAUGUAUAAAAAUGUUCAUCCAGCAUAGAUAGCAAGUAUUCAGGUAAUAUGCACACAUAGCACGUAAUUUAUAUAAAAUACUUCAUAUCUAUGUGUAAGCUGAAAGUAACUAUGCACUCACUUGAAAAGGUGGUGAAUCUGAACUCAGACAGCGCUUCGCUUCUUAAAAAUAAUUUCCUUCGACGAAACCUAGUAUUAUUACCACUAGAGUUUAGUCUAUUAUUCGCCGAGACUAAUUAAUAGUCUAGCUAUUAUUACUAUUAUAUAAUCGUCAAACAAUACUUAUAUAUCCCAUAAUAAUAGCCCAAGUACUUAUUAUAAGUUCCUAAUAACGUUACUAUAAUUAAAUAAACGAUAUAUUAAAAAUAGCGUAGGCGUAGCUCACUUACAGCGGGUUUUAUAGAAAACCAGGCUUUGCUUUGACCAGAAUUCCCAAGCCGAAAAACUCUUCUUCUCGGAGCCUUCAAGCACUCCGGGGCUUCCGCCUCAUGCUAGGGAGGUUCCCUAGGCUUUUCGGGGGGUUUCGGGGCUAAAGAGAGGUUCUAGAGAGAGAUUAAAGAGAAGAAAGAAUGAGAAAGGUGUGAAGAAAAUGAGGGUGGGAGAGAUUCUAUUUAUAGGGUGAAAAUUGGCUGAACUUGGUGCCACAUGUCACCAUCUAGUGGCAAGACUUGGGGAG